AGAGUUUGAUCCUGGCUCAGAACGAACGCUGGCGGCGCGCCUAAUACAUGCAAGUCGAGCGAGAAGGUGUAGCAAUACACUUGUAAAGCGGCGAACGGGUGAGGAAUACAUGGGUAAUCUACCAUCGAGUGGGGAAUAACCAACCGAAAGGUUGGCUAAUACCGCGUACGCCUCCGAGUCUUCGGGUUCGGAGGGAAAGCUGCACUGUGAGUGUAGCGCUCUUUGAUGAGCUCAUGUCCUAUCAGCUUGUUGGUAGGGUAACGGCCUACCAAGGCUUUGACGGGUAGCUGGUCUGAGAGGACGAUCAGCCACACUGGCACUGCGACACGGGCCAGACUCCUACGGGAGGCAGCAGUAAGGAAUAUUGCGCAAUGGGCGAAAGCCUGACGCAGCGACGCCGCGUGGGGGAUGAAGGUCUUCGGAUUGUAAACCCCUUUCGGGAGGGAAGAUGGAGCGAGCAAUCGUUCGGACGGUACCUCCAGAAGCAGCCACGGCCAACUUCGUGCCAGCAGCCGCGGUAAUACGAAGGUGGCAAGCGUUGUUCGGAUUCACUGGGCGUACAGGGUGUGUAGGCGGUUUGGUAAGCCUUCUGUUAAAGCUUCGGGCCCAACCCGGAAAGCGCAGAGGGUACUGCCAGGCUAGAGGGUGGGAGAGGAGCGCGGAAUUCCCGGUGUAGCGGUGAAAUGCGUAGAGAUCGGGAGGAAGGCCGGUGGCGAAGGCGGCGCUCUGGAACAUACCUGACGCUGAGACACGAAAGCGUGGGGGAGCAAACAGGAUUAGAUACCCUGGUAGUCCACGCC
RNAcentral lists this ribosomal RNA (800 nucleotides) under uncultured bacterium. RNAcentral's name for it is "bacterial SSU rRNA". It matches the Rfam family "Bacterial small subunit ribosomal RNA", at positions 8 to 801 of the family's 1533-position model. The record is from RNAcentral.